GACGAACGCUGGCGGCGUGCUUAACACAUGCAAGUCGAACGGAAAGGCCCUGCUUUUGUGGGGUGCUCGAGUGGCGAACGGGUGAGUAACACGUGAGUAACCUGCCCUUGACUUUGGGAUAACUUCAGGAAACUGGGGCUAAUACCAGAUAGGAGCUCCUGCUGCAUGGUGGGGGUUGGAAAGUUUCGGCUGUUGGGGAUGGACUCGCGGCUUAUCAACUUGUUGGUGGGGUAGUGGCUUACCAAGGCUUUGGCGGGUAGGCGGCCUGGGAGGGUGACCGGGCACCAUGGGACUGAGGUAGGGCCCAGAGUGCAAAAGGGGGGAAGAGGGGGGAAAAUUAGCAAAAGGGACGGAGUCGUAAAAGAACACCGCCGGGUUGGGAAGACCGGCUUUGGGGUAGUAAAAGCAUUAGGCUGAUACCAAGCGGUAGUGAAGGUAAAGGGAGAAGAAGCACCGGCUAACUACGUG
This 468-nucleotide ribosomal RNA is filed under the name uncultured bacterium. Its description in RNAcentral is "partial 16S ribosomal RNA". It matches the Rfam family "Bacterial small subunit ribosomal RNA", at positions 28 to 507 of the family's 1533-position model. The record is from RNAcentral.